UACGUAGGGUGCAAGCGUUGUCCGGAAUUAUUGGGCGUAAAGAGCUUGUAGGCGGUUUGUCGCGUCUGCUGUGAAAUUUCGGGGCUCAACCCCGAACUUGCAGUGGGUACGGGCAGACUAGAGUGUGGUAGGGGAGACUGGAAUUCCUGGUGUAGCGGUGGAAUGCGCAGAUAUCAGGAGGAACACCGAUGGCGAAGGCAGCUCGCUGGGACGGUACUGACGCUGAGGCGCGAAAGCGUGGGGAGCGAACAGG
RNAcentral lists this ribosomal RNA (253 nucleotides) under uncultured bacterium. Its description in RNAcentral is "partial 16S ribosomal RNA". It matches the Rfam family "Bacterial small subunit ribosomal RNA", at positions 524 to 776 of the family's 1533-position model. The record is from RNAcentral.